RNAcentral lists this long non-coding RNA (1947 nucleotides) under Homo sapiens (human). RNAcentral's name for it is "HSALNT0020125". Lineage: Eukaryota; Metazoa; Chordata; Mammalia; Primates; Hominidae. The record is from RNAcentral.
GUCAUCCUCCGGGGGCGGGGCCCGGGCCGCAUUGUCUCGUCUAGGGCCGGCUGGACGCCCCAGAGGCCGGACCUGGGCAACCCCAGCCUGGAGGUGCCGGGGCCGGAGCUCCCAGAGGGCUGGGUGCGAGGCCUAGGCGGGGUCAGGUUCGGGUUCCUAGGCCAUAGCGGAGCUGCAGCCCAGGCGGCCGGAGCGGAACCCAGCCCCGCUCCGAGUGCCACGUCUCCAGGAACCCCCUCCUUACUCUUGGACAACACUCCGCCCCCGCCCGGGCCUCCGUCCCCCAAACCGCCCUCAUUUGUGCAGCGCCAGAUCCUUCGGACACAUCCCUAGGUGUCUCCAUCCUCAUUCGGUCCAUCCAACUCCCAGACCUCACGUCAACCGGCUGCACCCCACUUUCCAGCCUGCGCCCCAGAUCUGCAGCCUUCGCCCCUAGAUACACCCGCCUGGUGAUGAGGCGCUCCUCGCGUUCCUUCCGUCUCCAGUGCACCGGCUUUCCCUCGUCCUCUGCGCAGUCCAUCUCAGCUCAUCUCUCCAAUUCAAUGCCAUCAUCUCUCCUCACCAUCUCUCGGUGCCCUGGAAUGUUUGCUGUCAGAUGUCCCCUGUGAAACCCACAAACGCUUGCGAUUUGGCCUCCUUGUUUUAUUUUGUGUAGUCCUACAACGUCUUGUUACUACCCCCUAUUACAACACUUAUAACUCAGUAUUUGUCUUUUUUCCGCGGUGUCCCUGCACUCUCCCCAUACAUAUUCCUCUCCUGCCAGAUUGUAAGCCUCUAGAGGGAAGAAGUAAUGUCUCUCUCCUUGGCACCAGGCACGUGGCACACGCUCCACAAAUAUUUGUUGAAAGGGAGGGUAAAUGGCCUUGAGUUUCUGUGGCUACCAUUGGCUGAGGAUGGAGCUUUGGGCUGGACAAAGAAGAAUCUGGUUGACCACAUGAAGCAGGAAGGAGGCUCAGAACGGUGUUGAGGGAGCCUCCACAAUGGGUGGGCACCACAGUUGGGCAACUUGAGAAGCCCUGGACUCCCAAGGAGCAAUCCUGUGAGCUGCUUAGAGAAGCUGUGAGGAUUAGAGGGAAACUCAUGUUCCCUGUUCAUCCCGCAGUGGCACCACCAGCACCCCUAAUUUGGGUCUCUGGGCUGAGGGGCCCCUGGCAGCAUGCUCAAUGGCCUUGGAUAGCUGGAAUGUUUGGAAUUGCCUGCAUCUUGGAUGAAAGUCUUAACAAUAGAAUGAAAACUGCUGCAACACUGUGUCAGCACUUUACAGACCACCACUGUAAAUUCCCAGUUGAAACUGGGAAUUUGGAAUUCCAUGUUCAACCAAAUCAUGCUGAGUGCCCAGCACAGCGUCUGACACACUAAAUGCUACAGGUGAAUUCCCUUUUUCCUCUUUCCUGGCAGGAAGCGGGGAUAGGGGAACCACUAGAAAUACUGUAAUAACAUGAAUAAGACAAGGCCAUUAGCCGGGAGCAAAUCAUAGAACAUCAGCCCUGUGAAAUGAGUGGUAUUAGUGUUACCAUUUUUCAGAUGGAGAAAUUGAGACUCAGAAAGGUUAAUUAGCCAAAAAUCACACAGACAGUAAUAGCAGAGCUAGGAAAAGAAUGUUCAUCCUAGUACCUAACUUUGAUCUUCCCAAAACACCAAACUGACUUCUAAAGCUGAAGAAAGAGGACACAGAAGCUUCAUCUCAGAUCUCACCACCAGCUGCCCCUUAAUCUGCCAACAUCGAACCAUUCUCUCCCCUCUAGACUACAGUGGCUUCAAACUUUGACUUAUCUCCAGUAUUUUUUUGUACAUAGCAAUAGCAACAAAAGUUUCACAAAACAAUAUUACCUUUGUAUGGCCAGGCACGGUGGCUCAUGCCUGUAAUCCCAACAUUUUGGGAGGCCAAGGCGGGCAGAUCAUGAGGUCAGGAGAUCAAGACCAUCCUGGCCAACAUGGUGAAACCCC